UCACUUUCUUGAACCCAUACAUAAGGAUCAAACACUUCCAUAUCAAAAAUAUGUUGUUUAUAUUCUAAAAACGUAAAUAAGUUUCAAGAUUCAUAGACCCUUUGUACCUUUCAUAACCAAGUCACAUAAACAAACACACACAUUAAUAUUGAAUAAAAAAAGGCUUACUUGGGUUUAUUUUCUUGAAUUUGCUUCUAGUUCCUGGACAAUAAACCAAAGGUGAAAAGAUAACAAAAUAUGAGCUUUUUCUUCCUCUUUUUUCGCUGAAAACCUACCCCAGGUGGCCAACUUUAUCCACUUGCAAUUUAUCAAUCCAAUUUAGACAACCUAGAAUCAAUUUGGACAACUUCUUCCUCUGUGUUUGUAAACUGUAUGUUUUGACUAUACCAAAAAUGUUGAGCGAUGAUUAAGAUGAUGAUUCGCCUAAAAAAUGCAGUGAGAAAAGGCGGAGGACGAUUGAGAAGAGGAGAUUGGCGACGAUAGCAACAGCCUCAUUGCCUCAAGUGGUGGUGGAGGAUCCAUGUCGUUUUCCUCUUUUUUUUUUGGUUUGAAUGUCAUGCUAGAGAGCUCACAACAAGGUGUUCAGUCAGUUGUGUAGAGGGCUGAUCCUUCAUCGAUAAUGGAUUGUGCAGGGGAUGAGGGGCGGGCAAAUGAUUUGGGGUUGGCGAGGUGGUUUGGGAGUUUAGAG
RNAcentral lists this long non-coding RNA (688 nucleotides) under Olea europaea (common olive). Its description in RNAcentral is "long non-coding RNA (OEUR_LNC012511)". Lineage: Eukaryota; Viridiplantae; Streptophyta; Magnoliopsida; Lamiales; Oleaceae. The record is from RNAcentral.